This 2666-nucleotide transfer RNA is filed under the name Candidatus Wolfebacteria bacterium. RNAcentral describes it as "partial 23S ribosomal RNA". It matches the Rfam family "Bacterial large subunit ribosomal RNA", at positions 1 to 2176 of the family's 2925-position model. Lineage: Bacteria; Candidatus Wolfeibacteriota. The record is from RNAcentral.
GGUCAGAAGGGCGUACGGAGGAUGCCUAGGCAUCAAAUGGCGACGAAGGACGCGGCGUAGCGGCGAUACGCUUCGGGGAGGUGCGUAGCAACCUGUGAUCCGGAGAUUUCCGAAUGGGGCAACCCGGUGGAGCAAACCUCCAUCAGUGCCAGCAAUGGUACGGCGAACCCGGCGAAGUAAAACAUUUCAGUAGCCGGAGGAACAGAAAAUCAAUCCCGACAAAUGUCGGGACCAUUCCCCAAGUAGCGGCGAGCGAAACGGGAGUAGCCCAAACCCGUCCUUCGCACUUUGCGAUGCGCAAAGCGCUGCGGAACGGCAGGCCUCAUAUAUUAAGAGAGCGUGUCGGUCCGUAGUAAUUUGCCCGCAAAUUGCGAAGGGUGGGGGUUGCAAGGUAGGGACGCUAUUUAUCUAUAGCGUGACCUCUGUAAUUUUACGGAGUGCGCGCUAUGGAUAAGUGUGGGUUUGUUACAAAUUCUUUUGUUAGUGGAAGAGCCUGGAACGGCUCGCCACAGAGGGUGAAAGCCCCGUACACGAAAACAAAGGAACAAACUAGUUUUUAUCCUUAAGUACCUCGGGGUCAAACAGCUCUGAGGGAAUCCGGCGGUACUAUCCGCCAAGGCUAAAUACAUUUGAUGACCGAUAGUGAACAAGUACCGUGAGGGAAAGGUGAAAAGCAGCCCGGGAGGGCGUUGAAAUAGAACCUGAAACCGUAUGUCUACAAGGAACUGAAGCUCUAUGGCGCUUCCGCAAGGAAGCGGCCGAGCGACAGUGUGCCUAUUGAAGAAUGACCCAACGACUUAUCGUAUAUCGCUAGUCUAAGCGCGGAAAGCGUGGAGGCACAGGGAAACCGAGUCUUAACAGGGCGAUUAUCCCCGUAAGGGGGUGCGGUAUGCGAUAGACCCGAAGCCGGAAGAGCUUGCCAUGGGCAGGGUGAACCCCGAUGAAAAUCGGGGGGAGGCCCGAACCAGUUGGUUGUUCAAAACCUUUGGAUGACCCGUGGUAAGGAGUGAAAAGCUAAUCGAUUUCGGUAAUAGCUGGUUCUCUCCGAAAUAGUUUUAGGACUAGCGUCGUGAAGUAGCGUGCGGGGGUAGAGCUACUGGAUAAUUCGUAAAGGGAGAAAUCUCGACGAAUUAAUCAAACUCCGAAUACCGUGCGUGGUAUCACGAUAGUCAGUACGUGGGGGCUAAGCUCCAUGUACGCAAGGGGAACAGCCCAGACCGUCAGCUAAGGUCCCUAAGUUACGGCUCAGUGUGAAAGGUAGUGCUUUGCCUUGGACAGGUAGGAGGUUGGCUUAGAGGUAGCCAUCCUUUAAAGAGUGUGUAACAACUCACUACUCGAUGGCAGAGUGCGCCGAAAAUGUACCGGGGCUCAAGCCGUAUACCGAAGCUACGGGUUCGCUGACUUCACAGAGGGAAAAUAUUUUUAUUUCCUCAACAGUUUCCAUCAGAAGAGAGGAGAGAGAUUACAACUCAACAGGUUGAAUUCGGUUUCUUCUUGAUGGAUGCAAUUUGAGGGGCAGGAGGUAUGCCUGGGCCACUUCGGCCUGGAUCAAACUCUCAAAAGCGCUCAGGCGCAAAACUGCCCCACCAGUUUGUGUGGCUCCUUCGUCUAACGGAUAGGACAGCACCCUUCGAGGGUGAAGAUCAGGAUUCAAAUCCUUGGGGGGCUACCAAACUUUAAAACCAAACCGGGCGUCUACGGACGCCCCCUCUGUGAAGUCAGCGAGCGGUAGGAGAGCAUUCGCAUCACUGCGAUGAAGCAGUACCCGCGAGGGACUGUGGAGCGUUGCGAAGAGAGAAUGUUGGGAUGAGUAACCACAUUCCUAAUGAGAAAUUGGGACCCUGAAAAUCCAAGGUUUCCGUGGCACUGGCAAUCAACCACGGGUUAGGCGGCCCUUAGCCGAUGCCGAAAGGCGCAGGUGAUGGAUAGCUGGUUAAUAUUCCAGCCCAGGCUGCCGAUCAUACCGGGGGGACGAAGGAAAUAAGUGUUUGUGCCUUACUGGUUUGGCAUUGUUUGGCAUAAGGCAUGCACCGCAAGGUGCGUGCCGAUGCAGGACAGAACUGGCGGGUUUCCCGCUGGGACAGACAUGAAGAGCCUUCCGAGAAAAGCCCCGUAAAGCGAUCGGUAGUCUUCCGUACCGGAAACCGACACUGGUGGAUAGGGCGAGUAGCCCAAAGGGAACGGGUGAGGCAUCGUCAAGGAACUAGGCAAAAAAGCGGCCGUAAGUUAGCGAUAAGGCCUGCCCCACGCAAGUGGGGCCGCAGCGAAAGUCUCUCUGGCGACUGUUUACCAAAAACACAGCUCCCUGCGAACUCGUAAGAGGAUGUAUAGGGGGUGACGCCUGACCGAUGCGAGAAGGUCAAACCUGGCGGUGGUAUGGAGUAAUCUGUACUGCUGACUGGGCAAAGCCCUCGUCAAUGUCAGCGAUAACUAUAAUCGUUCUAAGGUAGCGCAAUUCCUUUUCGGGUAAGUUCCGAAGCGCACGAAUGGCGUAACGAUCAGAGAACUGUCUCGACGAUGUGCCCGGUGAAAAUGCGAUUCCCGUGAAGACGCGGGAUACCUGUAGCGGGACGAAAAGACCCCGGAAGCUUUACUGCAGCCUGGUAUUGGCAAUAGGGGAUUACUGCGUAGCAUAGUGGGGAGCCUUUGAAGCAUCUCUUUCGGGA